GGAGGGGUUCCCGAGUGGUUAAAGGGAUCAGACUGUAAAUCUGACGGCUGUGCCUUCGUAGGUUCGAAUCCUACCCCCUCCA
This 82-nucleotide transfer RNA is filed under the name Coxiella endosymbiont of Amblyomma nuttalli. RNAcentral's name for it is "tRNA-Tyr". It matches the Rfam family "tRNA". From Rfam's summary of the family: Transfer RNA (tRNA) molecules are approximately 80 nucleotides in length. Lineage: Bacteria; Pseudomonadati; Pseudomonadota; Gammaproteobacteria; Legionellales; Coxiellaceae. The record is from RNAcentral.